AUCAUUACCGAGAGUCCGCGCCAUAGGCGAUCUAGGCUCUGCCUCUGGUCGCGGUGCGCGGCUCACACCUUACCCUUGCUUAUGCGCACCUUUUUGUUGUUUCCUCGGCGGGUCCGCCCGCCGACGGGAAGCCCAUCAAACCCUUUGCAUCAGCAUGAAAACCUCUGAGCAAAACCUAAAUAUUUACAACUUUCAACAAUGGAUCUCUUGGUUCUGGCAUCGAUGAAGAACG
This 232-nucleotide unclassified non-coding RNA is filed under the name Pseudochaetosphaeronema martinelli. RNAcentral's name for it is "partial contains 18S rRNA, ITS1, 5.8S rRNA, ITS2 and 28S rRNA". The stretch from base 188 to 232 matches the Rfam family "5.8S ribosomal RNA", at positions 1 to 45 of the family's 154-position model. Lineage: Eukaryota; Fungi; Ascomycota; Dothideomycetes; Pleosporales. The record is from RNAcentral.